Ictalurus punctatus (channel catfish) is the source of this 1964-nucleotide long non-coding RNA. RefSeq lists it as uncharacterized. The transcript has 3 exons. The record is from RefSeq and is a predicted model, not a curated record. NCBI's taxonomy places the organism in Eukaryota, Metazoa, Chordata, Actinopteri, Siluriformes, Ictaluridae.
CUUCAGCCUCCAAGGCUCCUAAAAUCAAUUCUAAGCUCCUAAGCAACAUGUCGUUGGUUUUACCAUAUCAGUUUGAGCCCGAGUCAGAUUCAGAAAAUGCGGAUGAUCGAGAGGAACCAACUUUGCAAACAUGACUUGACUUCACAGUGAUACCAGCUAUUCAUCAGAAACAACAACAACAAAAUGAUUGAUAUCCCCCCCCCAAGCAAGCAAACCCGUGACCCAGAAAUGCUAUGUCAGCCAUCUUGAAGGACAUAUGAAUUCGCUAAUUGCACCACGAGGAGGUGAGGAGCUAGGAGCUAGGAGCGAUACACAGGUGUAUCCUAUGCAAAAGUGUUUCUUGCUGAAAAACCUGAUGCACGUAUAAAUUCCCCUCCUGCUUUACAUCUGCCACAAUCUCAAACAAAAGGUCCUUUGAUGAUGUGAUGUAUGCUUACAGUGAGUAUUGUAAUUAAUUGAUACUUGCAUGUUUGGAUACGCAAAGCUGCACAAAAGAUGCGAUAAUUUAUGUAUUGUUUAUUCAUUCAUUGUUGAAUAACCCAGACAUUUCACAUACUAGAAAAGCAUUUUGCUUUAUUAAGAAUGUUGUUAUUAACCAAGCUCAAACAACAUAACAGCACAUUAAAAAUAAGCACAACAGCAGAUCCCUGAAGCGCAGUGAGGUCAUCCAGCUGAGCACAGUCAUCAUUAAUUGACGUCGCUUUUAAGUGACGCUUAAGAGAGCGAGGAUAUUCCAUUUGCUUCGAUUCUUCUCUCCUCACAUCUCAUCCUUGCAUCCUUCCCUCAUAUCCAAAGCGGGUGGAGCUAAGAUGCAAGGAAAGGAAGCGAGGAAAGGAAAUAAGAAAUGUGAAGCACCCAUUUCCUAAAACAUCUGUUUGGGAGGCUGGUAUUCUCCAACGUAAAUGAAAGUUGUCACAUGGCUCUGUCUGCUGUUAAAAAUAGAACUACUCAUCAGAAAACUCGCUUGCCAUCUACUGGUCAAAGGGUCAAAUUGUAGAAUAGGUGAAAUAUAUUCAAGAGCAGUAAUACACACAAAAUAAAGUAAGACUGCAUGAAUACAUUUCUUUGGAUGAGCAGUUAGUGUAUUCCUACUAUACAUUACAUUAUACAUUGUGUGAUGUAUACUUACAUACACAAACCUAGCUUCACUAUAAGUAAAUGUGUUCUUGUGUAUUUUUGUGGGCUAAUGUAGUAUUAUCUAAAUUCAUUAAUGGGACACUGACCAAAGUAUAAAAUGUAACCAUCCAUACAACUGGUGUAAACAUACAUACUCAUGUCUUACAGCGAUGAAGCAGUGGGCUCUGUGGCAAGAUUUCCCAUUGUGAAUGUAUGGUAUAUUUUUUAAAGCAAAUGGUAUAUGUUAAAGAAAUCACUGAAUAAAUCAGUAUGUUAAUGGUAUAUAUUAAAUAAAUCAUUGAAUAGAUCAGUAUGUUAAGGUUAAGCAAUCAAAAGUAAGAUCCAAUCAUGUGUAAUAUAUAAGAUCAUAAGAGAGAAUUUGUUUAUCAAAGAAGCUAAAAUCAUUGAGCGCCCAUUCUUCAGUUAUAAAUGUAUCUUUUCUAGUAGGCUUGCUCUGUUAUUUCUCAGAAAAAUCACCUGCACCUGUAUAAAAACACAGUUUGUACUCUGUCUUUUUAAGUCUGUAUCUUUGAAGACAAUGCAUUUCUACUCUUUCUUUUUAAGUUACCAGUUUGAUGUAAAGUGAUUUCUUAAGAUGUGUUGUUAAAAUCCAUGAUGUAAGUCAGUAAAAUAAAAGCUUCUUAGAAAAUAAACUGAUUGAACUAACGUCACUAUUAUAGAUAAGAUCUGAAGAAAGAAACGUAAUUGCUGUCAGAAGUGUGAUCAAGAAAAUAUGGGAAAACCCCCACCUAAUGAGAUCAUUGUUUAAGUAUUGUAUAAAAGCAUGAACAUUGAUUGUACUUAUCAGAUGAUCUGUGGACUUUUAUGAUUCUUUAAUAAAAGUCUGA